GUCCAGGACUUGAACUGCAGUCAACUGCAUGGGAGUUCAGUGACAUUGCCAUUAUGCUAACUGCUGGUCCCAAUUAAGUUAUUUCUUAACUAUACCUGUGUUUAUACUCCUGUAGCAGCCAAGGAUGUUUGGCCUCAUACAU
RNAcentral lists this small nucleolar RNA (142 nucleotides) under Tupaia belangeri (northern tree shrew). RNAcentral's name for it is "Small nucleolar RNA SNORA63 (ENSTBEG00000021204.1)". Lineage: Eukaryota; Metazoa; Chordata; Mammalia; Scandentia; Tupaiidae. The record is from RNAcentral.